RNAcentral lists this ribosomal RNA (318 nucleotides) under uncultured eukaryote. RNAcentral's name for it is "partial 18S ribosomal RNA". It matches the Rfam family "Eukaryotic small subunit ribosomal RNA", at positions 1470 to 1796 of the family's 1831-position model. The record is from RNAcentral.
CCCUUAGAUGUUCUGGGCCGCACGCGCGCUACACUGACGCAUUCAACGAGUCUCCUUGGCCGAGAGGCCUGGGUAAUCUUGUGAACGUGCGUCGUGAUAGGGAUAGAUUAUUGCAAUUAUUAAUCUUGAACGAGGAAUUCCUAGUAAACGCAGAUCAUCAAUCUGCAUUGAUUACGUCCCUGCCCUUUGUACACACCGCCCGUCGCACCUACCGAUUGGAUGGUCCGGUGAAAUCUCGGGACGGCGGCUUGGUCGCUUGCGUCCGACUGCUGAAACUUGAUUAAACCAUAUCAUUUAGAGGAAGGUGAAGUCGUANCA